UGGGGAAUAUUGGACAAUGGGCGAAAGCCUGAUCCAGCCAUGCCGCGUGUGUGAAGAAGGUCUUCGGAUUGUAAAGCACUUUAAGUUGGGAGGAAGGGCAGUAAGCGAAUACCUUGCUGUUUGGACGUUACCGACAGAAUAAGCACCGGCUAACUCGGUGCCAGCAGCCGCGGUAAUACAGAGGGGGCAAGCGUUAAUCGGAAUUACUGGGCGUAAGGCGCGCGUAGGGGGUUCGUUAAGUUGAAUGUGAAAGCCCCGGGCUCAACCUGGGAACUGCAUCCAAAACUGGCGAGCUAGAGUAGGGCAGAGGGUGGUGGAAUUUCCUGUGUAGCGGUGAAAUGCGUAGAUAUAGGAAGGAACACCAGUGGCGAAGGCGACCACCUGGGCUCAUACUGACCCUGAGGUGCGAAAGCGUGGGGAGCAAACAGG
This 429-nucleotide ribosomal RNA is filed under the name Pseudomonadota bacterium. Its description in RNAcentral is "Proteobacteria bacterium partial 16S ribosomal RNA". It matches the Rfam family "Bacterial small subunit ribosomal RNA", at positions 355 to 776 of the family's 1533-position model. Lineage: Bacteria; Pseudomonadati; Pseudomonadota. The record is from RNAcentral.